Molecule: long non-coding RNA, 317 nt
Organism: Sarcophilus harrisii (Tasmanian devil)
Lineage: Eukaryota; Metazoa; Chordata; Mammalia; Dasyuromorphia; Dasyuridae
Exons: 2
Source: RefSeq, a predicted model, not a curated record
GCUCAACUGGGGGCCGCCUCGUACCUCUAGUCCCAGCUGCCCCGCUGGGAGUUAAGCAAUUCGCGGUCUCCCUCUAUCCCACCUGGGAGAUGAGGAAACAGAUGAGAAAAUAUCUCCAUGGAGAUAUUAAAGACUAGCCCAAAGUCAAAGAGUAACCCAGAAGCAGUGCAAGAACUUUCUUCUGUGCUCUUUCUACCACAUCAACCACCUUUGUUAAGAAGUUGUUCCAGCCACUUCCUUCCAUGGAACUCCCACACUUCUUAUUGUCUCCAUUGCUCAUGUUAAUUCUCAAAUAUAUCCUGUUUUAUACAUCCGCA